CCCAGGUCGGCUCGCCUGCCCCUGGACUGGCUGUAGCGCCCAGGUUGGCUUGCUUGCCCCUGGUCUGGCUGUGACACCCAGUUCGGCUGCGUGCCCCGCGAAUGGCUGCAGUUCCCAGGUCGGCUCGCUUGUCCCAGGUCUGGCAGUUGCGCCCAGGUCGGCUCGCUUGCCCCAG
Molecule: long non-coding RNA, 175 nt
Organism: Amblyraja radiata (thorny skate)
Lineage: Eukaryota; Metazoa; Chordata; Chondrichthyes; Rajiformes; Rajidae
Exons: 3
Source: RefSeq, a predicted model, not a curated record